Molecule: ribosomal RNA, 1435 nt
Filed under: uncultured organism
Description: 16S ribosomal RNA
Rfam family: Bacterial small subunit ribosomal RNA
Source: RNAcentral
CAGGCUUAACACAUGCAAGUCGAGGGGCAGCAUGGUCUUAGCUUGCUAAGGCCGAUGGCGACCGGCGCACGGGUGAGUAACACGUAUCCAACCUGCCGUCUACUCUUGGACAGCCUUCUGAAAGGAAGAUUAAUACAAGAUGGCAUCAUGAGUCCGCAUGUUCACAUGAUUAAAGGUAUUCCGGUAGACGAUGGGGAUGCGUUCCAUUAGAUAGUAGGCGGGGUAACGGCCCACCUAGUCUUCGAUGGAUAGGGGUUCUGAGAGGAAGGUCCCCCACAUUGGAACUGAGACACGGUCCAAACUCCUACGGGAGGCAGCAGUGAGGAAUAUUGGUCAAUGGGCGAGAGCCUGAACCAGCCAAGUAGCGUGAAGGAUGACUGCCCUAUGGGUUGUAAACUUCUUUUAUAAAGGAAUAAAGUCGGGUAUGCAUACCCGUUUGCAUGUACUUUAUGAAUAAGGAUCGGCUAACUCCGUGCCAGCAGCCGCGGUAAUACGGAGGAUCCGAGCGUUAUCCGGAUUUAUUGGGUUUAAAGGGAGCGUAGAUGGAUGUUUAAGUCAGUUGUGAAAGUUUGCGGCUCAACCGUAAAAUUGCAGUUGAUACUGGAUAUCUUGAGUGCAGUUGAGGCAGGCGGAAUUCGUGGUGUAGCGGUGAAAUGCUUAGAUAUCACGAAGAACUCCGAUUGCGAAGGCAGCCUGCUAAGCUGCAACUGACAUUGAGGCUCGAAAAGUGUGGGUAUCAAACAGGAUUAGAUACCCUGGUAGUCCACACGGUAAACGAUGAAUACUCGCUGUUUGCGAUAUACAGCAAGCGGCCAAGCGAAAGCGUUAAGUAUUCCACCUGGGGAGUACGCCGGCAACGGUGAAACUCAAAGGAAUUGACGGGGGCCCGCACAAGCGGAGGAACAUGUGGUUUAAUUCGAUGAUACGCGAGGAACCUUACCCGGGCUUAAAUUGCAGAUGAAUUACGGUGAAAGCCGUAAGCCGCAAGGCAUCUGUGAAGGUGCUGCAUGGUUGUCGUCAGCUCGUGCCGUGAGGUGUCGGCUUAAGUGCCAUAACGAGCGCAACCCUUGUUGUCAGUUACUAACAGGUUCCGCUGAGGACUCUGACAAGACUGCCAUCGUAAGAUGUGAGGAAGGUGGGGAUGACGUCAAAUCAGCACGGCCCUUACGUCCGGGGCUACACACGUGUUACAAUGGGGGGUACAGAGGGCCGCUACCACGCGAGUGGAUGCCAAUCCCCAAAACCUCUCUCAGUUCGGACUGGAGUCUGCAACCCGACUCCACGAAGCUGGAUUCGCUAGUAAUCGCGCAUCAGCCACGGCGCGGUGAAUACGUUCCCGGGCCUUGUACACACCGCCCGUCAAGCCAUGGGAGCCGGGGGUACCUGAAGUGCGUAACCGCGAGGAGCGCCCUAGGGUAAAACUGGUGACUGGGGC